AAACAGAAGGUAGGGUGCCAUUUUAGAGAAGAAAGUCCUAAAAAAUCGACUGACAGUGGUGAAAUCGAAAAAAAUCCAGCCCUAACCCCCUCCCUCUCUGGAGCCAUCUCUCUCUCGCUCGCUCGCUCGCCAGGAGUGGAAUAUAUAUAUAUAAGAUUGUUAUAAGAUGGCAACAAGAACAGACUCAGAUAUUGAUGAUGACUUUAGUGAGCUUUACAAGGAGUAUACUGGUCCUAUGGGAUCAACUACCACCAAUGUGCAGGAUAAGGCAAAGACAAACAAAAGGUCUCUGGCGGGGUCCGAUGAAGAAGAGGAACCUCCUCGUGACCCCAACGCUGUUCCUACUGAUUUCACGAGCCGAGAAGCAAAGGUUUGGGAGGCUAAGUCAAAAGCUACUGAGAGGAUUUGGAAGAAACGAAAAGAAGAGGAAUUGAUUUGCAAAAUAUGUGGAGAGUCGGGUCACUUUACUCAGGGAUGCCCUUCUACUCUUGGAGCAAAUCGCAAGUCUCAAGAUUUCUUUGAAAGGAUACCUGCUAGAGAAAAGCAUGUAAAAGCACUUUUUACAGAGAAAGUUUUACAAAAGAUCGAAAAAGAUAUUGGCUGCAAAAUCAAGAUGGACGAGAAAUUUAUUAUUGUCAGUGGCAAGGAUAGGUUAAUUUUGGCAAAAGGUGUGGAUGCUGUGCACAAAGUGAUUAAGGAAGAAAGUGAUCAGAGAGGCCCUUCUAGUUCCCAAGUUGCAAGAUCUAAGUCACCUGAACGAAGCCCUGUUGACUCACGGUUGCGACGCUCUGAUUCCCAAAGGUCUCAUUCUGGUCCUCAGAAUGCAUCACAGUUUCAACAGAGGUUUGGCAGGCAGGAGAAGGUUGUGGAAGACCGAAUUCGGGAUGAUAUGCCGAAAUUUUCAAGGGAUUCUCCACAAGCUUAUGGUAAUAAUGGAGCUAGAGGUCGUUCAAGCCAUUCAAAAUCUCCAGCACGUCCUCCUUACACGGGCAAGUCAUAUAAUUCAUACGAUGGUAAUAAUCAGAGCAUGGGUGCUUAUAGAACUGAUGGAUGGGAUAAUGAAAAGAGAGGGUCGGAUAUCCAAUCUGAUCGUCAGUUUGAUUACCCUGCCUUCCCCCAGACAUUAGAAGACUUAGAGUUGGAGUUUAAGAAGGAGGCAAUGGAACUUGGAAGAAUUCGUGACAAGGAAGAGGAUGAAGAAAAUUACACGCAUCGUGAGUCUAUUAGGGAGAUAAAAGAGAACUACAUGAAGCAACUGGCUAUUCUGAGGGGAACACAUGGAAAACAGUGGGAGGAGUUUCUCCAGCUUGAUGCUCAGAGGCGUCAACAACAGGCACAUCAGCAAUUGCCCACUUCUAGUUUUGGUGGUUAUAAACAGCAUGGUUAUUCUGACUAUGAUGGUACCUCGGCCAAUCCACAUUAUGCUUUGGCCAAUUUAGCCAUGGAUUCAAGAAGCCGAUAUCCACACCCUAUGGAAAAUUACUCUUCAAGGCCUCAUGAAAAAUUUGGUGAAUUUCAGCGUCAAAGGCGUGAAGAUUAUGGGAAACCUUACAAUCGAUACUAAAUCACCGUACUGGAAUUAAGGCUGGGUCAAGAUCUUGUUCAGGUGGGCGUAAUGCUUAGAGGAGGCUGAAAUAUAGGUGUGUGUGUGCACAGCUAACUGCACGAACAGAGGCGAAAGAGGCAUUCUAGGGGGGUGGGCAUUGCCUAAAUUAUCCUUAUAUUACUGCUAAAGAAGUUUAUGGACUAUCUGCUCCAGUCAUCAAUAUGUUCUACCCAAAUUUCACGUUGACUGAUUGGUCUUUUUGAUGUUGAUCGCCUAUUAUCAAUUAGGAACAGAGUCUAUUUCAUUUUCUUUCUAUUUUUAAAUUUGUUUUGGUCAUAGAAGCUUCAUCAUAUGUAUCAUCAAUGAAUUUUGUGAUGACCAGUUAACUAAUCGUGGAUUGAGGCACGCCUGUGGUCCUGUAAUUCAUGGCCUCCCUACUCAUCAGGGAUUACAUUUAGUAGUGUUUGUUGAGAGGCUUUCUGUGGUGUCUUAAAAUUUGGGCGUUUGGUGCCUCUUGUCCAACCUCAAAAGAAGAGGCUUUUGAGAAAGACCAUUUUACCUUUGGAUCAAGGAAUUCAUAAGCACAGAUUGCAAUUGACUCUGUUAUGGCCCAUUAAGCACAGGCAGAACUCAUUGUAAAAAUUUCAUUGUGCAUUCUCUGUCCACUUUAUUAAUAGGUCUUUAUUAAAAUGCACUUUAUAUCGUUGCUGAUAUAAAGCUUAAUUUUCACC
RNA transcript from Corylus avellana, 2277 nucleotides. It is a transcript of the gene named Zinc knuckle (CCHC-type) family protein, with no coding region annotated. NCBI's taxonomy places the organism in Eukaryota, Viridiplantae, Streptophyta, Magnoliopsida, Fagales, Betulaceae. The record is from RefSeq and is a predicted model, not a curated record.